Molecule: ribosomal RNA, 301 nt
Filed under: uncultured bacterium
Lineage: Bacteria
Description: partial 16S ribosomal RNA
Rfam family: Bacterial small subunit ribosomal RNA
Source: RNAcentral
CAGUCGCCGCGGUAAUACGAAGGGGGCUAGCGUUGUUCGGAAUUACUGGGCGUAAAGCGCACGUAGGCGGACAUUUAAGUCAGGGGUGAAAUCCCGGGGCUCAACCCCGGAACUGCCUUUGAUACUGGGUGUCUAGAGUAUGGAAGAGGUGAGUGGAAUUCCGAGUGUAGAGGUGAAAUUCGUAGAUAUUCGGAGGAACACCAGUGGCGAAGGCGGCUCACUGGUCCAUUACUGACGCUGAGGUGCGAAAGCGUGGGGAGCAAACAGGAUUAGAUACCCGGGUAGUCCCUGUCUCUUUAAA